GGCUCAGGACGAACGCUGGCGGCGUGCUUAACACAUGCAAGUCGAACGGAAAGGCCCUUCGGGGUGCUCGAGUGGCGAACGGGUGAGUAACACGUGGGUGAUCUGCCCUGCACUUUGGGAUAAGCCUGGGAAACUGGGUCUAAUACCGAAUAGGACUCCGGACUGCAUGGUCUGGGGUGGAAAGCUUUUGCGGUGUGGGAUGGGCCCGCGGCCUAUCAGCUUGUUGGUGGGGUGAUGGCCUACCAAGGCGACGACGGGUAGCCGGCCUGAGAGGGUGACCGGCCACACUGGGACUGAGAUACGGCCCAGACUCCUACGGGAGGCAGCAGUGGGGAAUAUUGCACAAUGGGCGCAAGCCUGAUGCAGCGACGCCGCGUGGGGGAUGACGGCCUUCGGGUUGUAAACCUCUUUCAGCACAGACGAAGCGCAAGUGACGGUAUGUGCAGAAGAAGCACCGGCCAACUACGUGCCAGCAGCCGCGGUAAUACGUAGGGUGCGAGCGUUGUCCGGAAUUACUGGGCGUAAAGAGCUCGUAGGUGGUUUGUCGCGUUGUUCGUGAAAACUCACAGCUUAACUGUGGGCGUGCGGGCGAUACGGGCAGACUGGAGUACUGCAGGGGAGACUGGAAUUCCUGGUGUAGCGGUGGAAUGCGCAGAUAUCAGGAGGAACACCGGUGGCGAAGGCGGGUCUCUGGGCAGUAACUGACGCUGAGGAGCCAAA
This 720-nucleotide ribosomal RNA is filed under the name Mycolicibacterium mageritense. RNAcentral describes it as "bacterial SSU rRNA". It matches the Rfam family "Bacterial small subunit ribosomal RNA", at positions 21 to 758 of the family's 1533-position model. The record is from RNAcentral. Lineage: Bacteria; Bacillati; Actinomycetota; Actinomycetes; Mycobacteriales; Mycobacteriaceae.